CCUACGGGAGGCAGCAGUGAGGAAUAUUGGUCAAUGGGCGAGAGCCUGAACCAGCCAAGUAGCGUGAAGGAUGACUGCCCUACGGGUUGUAAACUUCUUUUAUAAAGGAAUAAAGUGAGGUACGCGUGCCUUUUUGUAUGUACUAUAUGAAUAAGGAUCGGCUAACUCCGUGCCAGCAGCCGCGGUAAUACGGAGGAUCCGAGCGUGAUCCGGAUUUAUUGGGUUUAAAGGGAGCGUAGGUGGGUUGUUAAGUCAGUUGUGAAAGUUUGCGGCUCAACCGUAAAAUUGCAAUUGAAACUGGCUGUCUUGAGUACAGUAGAGGUAGGCGGAAUUCGUGGUGUAGCGGUGAAAUGCUUAGAUAUCACGAAGAACUCCGAUUGCGAAGGCAGCUUACUAAACUGCCACUGACAUUGAUGCUCGAAAGUGUGGGUAUCAAACAGGAUUAGAUACCCCAGUAGUC
Molecule: ribosomal RNA, 460 nt
Filed under: uncultured bacterium
Lineage: Bacteria
Description: partial 16S ribosomal RNA
Rfam family: Bacterial small subunit ribosomal RNA
Source: RNAcentral